This 244-nucleotide ribosomal RNA is filed under the name uncultured Actinomycetes bacterium. Its description in RNAcentral is "uncultured actinobacterium partial 16S ribosomal RNA". It matches the Rfam family "Bacterial small subunit ribosomal RNA", at positions 28 to 276 of the family's 1533-position model. Lineage: Bacteria; Bacillati; Actinomycetota; Actinomycetes. The record is from RNAcentral.
GACGAACGCUGGCGGCGUGCUUAACACAUGCAAGUCGAGCGGUAAGGCCCUUCGGGGUACACGAGCGGCGAACGGGUGAGUAACACGUGGGUAACCUGCCCUGUACUCUGGGAUAAGCCUUGGAAACGAGGUCUAAUACCGGAUACGACUCUCUAUCGCAUGAUGGAGGGUGGAAAGUUCCGGCGGUAUGGGAUGGACCCGCGGCCUAUCAGCUUGUUGGUGGGGUAAUGGCCUACCAAGGCGA